RNAcentral lists this ribosomal RNA (580 nucleotides) under uncultured rumen bacterium. RNAcentral describes it as "bacterial SSU rRNA". It matches the Rfam family "Bacterial small subunit ribosomal RNA", at positions 192 to 773 of the family's 1533-position model. The record is from RNAcentral.
GUUUGGCGAAUAAAGAUUUAUCGGCGAUGGAUGAGGAUGCGACUGAUUAGCUGGUUGGCGGGGUAACGGCCCACCAAGGCGACGAUCAGUAGGGGUUCUGAGAGGAAGGUCCCCCACAUUGGAACUGAGACACGGUCCAAACUCCUACGGGAGGCAGCAGUGAGGAAUAUUGGUCAAUGGACGAGAGUCUGAACCAGCCAAGUAGCGUGAAGGAUGACGGCCCUAUGGGUUGUAAACUUCUUUUGUUUGGGAAUAAAGUGCUCUACGUGUAGAGUUUUGUAUGUACCUUACGAAUAAGCAUCGGCUAAUUCCGUGCCAGCAGCCGCGGUAAUACGGAAGAUGCGAGCGUUAUCCGGAUUUAUUGGGUUUAAAGGGAGCGUAGGCGGACCUUUAAGUCAGCGGUAAAAUGUCAAUGCCCAACAUUGGCCCGCCGUUGAUACUGUUGGUCUUGAAUACACACAAGGAAGGUGGAAUUCGUUGUGUAGCGGUGAAAUGCUUAGAUAUGACGAAGAACUCCGAUUGCGAAGGCAGCCUUCUGGGGUGCGAUUGACGCUGAGGCUCGAAAGUGCGGGUAUCAAAC